CCUACGGGAGGCAGCAGUGGGGAAUUUUGGACAAUGGGCGAAAGCCUGAUCCAGCAAUGCCGCGUGAGUGAAGAAGGCCUUCGGGUUGUAAAGCUCUUUUGUCAGGGAAGAAACGGUGAGAGCUAAUAUCUUUUGCUAAUGACGGUACCUGAAGAAUAAGCACCGGCUAACUACGUGCCAGCAGCCGCGGUAAUACGUAGGGUGCAAGCGUUAAUCGGAAUUACUGGGCGUAAAGCGUGCGCAGGCGGUUUUGUAAGUCUGAUGUGAAAUCCCCGGGCUCAACCUGGGAAUUGCAUUGGAGACUGCAAGGCUAGAAUCUGGCAGAGGGGGGUAGAAUUCCACGUGUAGCAGUGAAAUGCGUAGAUAUGUGGAGGAACACCGAUGGCGAAGGCAGCCCCCUGGGUCAAGAUUGACGCUCAUGCACGAAAGCGUGGGGAGCAAACAGGAUUAGAUACCCGUGGUAGUCCACGCCCUAAACGAUGUCUACUAGUUGUCGGGUCUUAAUUGACUUGGUAACGCAGCUAACGCGUGAAGUAGACCGCCUGGGGAGUACGGUGCAAGNUUAAAACCGUUAAAUGAAUUGACCGGNUGAGAGNGCGAGACGACGACGAGGGAGGAGG
Molecule: ribosomal RNA, 620 nt
Filed under: uncultured bacterium
Lineage: Bacteria
Description: bacterial SSU rRNA
Rfam family: Bacterial small subunit ribosomal RNA
Source: RNAcentral